GGUAUAUGUCUCACUCUGCUGGUAUUGAUGGAUGGUAUAGGUCUCACUCUGCUGGUAUUGAUGGAUGGUAUAGGUCUCACUCUGCUGGUAUUGAUGGAUGGUAUAGGUCUCACUCUGCUGGUAUUGAUGGCUGGUAAAGGUCUCACUCUGCUGGUAUUGAUGGAUGGUAUAGGUCUCACUCUGCUGGUAUUGAUGGAUGGUAUAGGUCUAGGUCACACUCUUCUGGUAUUGAUGGAUGGUAUAGGUCUCACACUCUGCUGGUAUUGAUGGAUGGUAUAGGUCUCACACUCUUCUGGUAUUGAUGGAUGGUAUAGGUCUCACACUCUGCUGGUAUUGAUAGAUGCUUAUGUACUGAAGUAUGAGAUAGAGA
RNAcentral lists this long non-coding RNA (370 nucleotides) under Salmo salar (Atlantic salmon). Its description in RNAcentral is "lncRNA (ENSSSAG00000119483.1)". The record is from RNAcentral. Lineage: Eukaryota; Metazoa; Chordata; Actinopteri; Salmoniformes; Salmonidae.